Molecule: non-coding RNA, 86 nt
Organism: Heliocybe sulcata
Lineage: Eukaryota; Fungi; Basidiomycota; Agaricomycetes; Gloeophyllales; Gloeophyllaceae
Source: the annotation of a GenBank genome assembly
GCCCCCGUUGUCUAAUGGUUAUGACGUCAGACUUCUAUUUCAUGUAUGGUAUCUGGAGGUUGCGAGUUCGAGUCUCGCCGGGGGCU